This 252-nucleotide ribosomal RNA is filed under the name uncultured bacterium. RNAcentral describes it as "partial 16S ribosomal RNA". It matches the Rfam family "Bacterial small subunit ribosomal RNA", at positions 524 to 776 of the family's 1533-position model. The record is from RNAcentral.
UACGUAGGUCCCGAGCGUUGUCCGGAUUUAUUGGGCGUAAAGCGAGCGCAGGUGGUUUAUUAAGUCUGGUGUAAAAGGCAGUGGCUCAACCAUUGUAUGUAUUGGAAACUGGUAGACUUGAGUGCAGGAGAGGAGAGUGGAAUUCCAUGUGUAGCGGUGAAAUGCGUAGAUAUAUGGAGGAACACCGGUGGCGAAAGCGGCUCUCUGGCCUGUAAUUGACACUGAGGCUCGAAAGCGUGGGGAGCAAACAGG